Molecule: non-coding RNA, 71 nt
Organism: Parelaphostrongylus tenuis
Lineage: Eukaryota; Metazoa; Nematoda; Chromadorea; Rhabditida; Metastrongylidae
Source: the annotation of a GenBank genome assembly
GCCUCGGUGAUGUAGUGGUAGCAAGCACUAUUGGUAUGAGUGAAACGCUGGUUCAGCUCCCGCCUGAGGUG